AGGACGAACGCUGGCGGCGUGCUUAACACAUGCAAGUCGAGCGGUGAUCCUCCUUCGGGAGGUGAUCAGCGGCGAACGGGUGAGUAACACGUGGGCAACCUGCCCCUCACACUGGGAUAACCUCGGGAAACCGGGGCUAAUACCGGAUACGACCUCGAGCGGCAUCUCUUGAGGUGGAAAGCUCCGACGGUGAGGGAUGGGCCCGCGGCCUAUCAGCUUGUUGGUGGGGUAAUGGCCUACCAAGGUGACGACGGGUA
RNAcentral lists this ribosomal RNA (257 nucleotides) under uncultured bacterium. RNAcentral's name for it is "partial small subunit ribosomal RNA". It matches the Rfam family "Bacterial small subunit ribosomal RNA", at positions 26 to 285 of the family's 1533-position model. The record is from RNAcentral.